UGCUUUUCACCUGAAGCUUUUCUUUCUUCAUUUUCCCAUUUCGAGCUAGGGAUUGCAUCUUAAGCCGUAAAAAAGUUCAUAAAAAAGUCUGUUUAUGAAGGUCAGAAACUUUUUAUCAUCUAGAUUGAAAUAUCUUGUAGUGGGGAGAAGGUAAAGUUUAGACUAAGGUUUACAACAAAUGCCAACUAUUGAAAUCAUGAGGGAUACCUUUGCAUCCGGAAAUGGUUCAAAUGAAGAAGUUGAAAUUGUCAUUGCUUCACCUUAUGGUCAAUUGGCUGACAAGCAAACAAGAAUUAGACACUUAAAAUUGUAUCAAGCUGCACUAAGUGGUGAUUGGAGCAUGGCUGAG
Pistacia vera is the source of this 349-nucleotide long non-coding RNA. RefSeq lists it as uncharacterized. The transcript is spliced from 4 exons. The record is from RefSeq and is a predicted model, not a curated record. NCBI's taxonomy places the organism in Eukaryota, Viridiplantae, Streptophyta, Magnoliopsida, Sapindales, Anacardiaceae.